GUGUCAGCAGCCGCGGUAAGACGGAGGGGGCUAGCGUUGUUCGGAAUUACUGGGCGUAAAGCGGGCGUAGGCGGCCGGCUAAGUCGGAUGUGAAAUCCCGGGGCUCAACUCCGGAACUGCAUUCGAUACUGGUCGGCUAGAGUUCGAGAGGGGGAUGCGGAAUUCCGCGUGUAGCAGUGAAAUGCGUAGAUAUGCGGAGGAACACCUGAGGCGAAGGCGGCAUCCUGGAUCGACACUGACGCUGAGGCCCGAAAGCGUGGGGAGCAAACAGGAUUAGAUACCCUGGUAGUCCACGCCCUAAACGAUGUCUACUAGCCGUUGCGGGUAUCGACCCCUGCAGUGGCGCAGCUAACGCGAUAAGUAGACCGCCUGGGGAGUACGGCCGCAAGGUUAAAACUUAAAGGAAUUGACGGGG
Molecule: ribosomal RNA, 415 nt
Filed under: uncultured prokaryote
Description: bacterial SSU rRNA
Rfam family: Bacterial small subunit ribosomal RNA
Source: RNAcentral